AGAGUUUGAUCAUGGCUCAGAAUCAACGCUGGCGGCGCGCCUAACACAUGCAAGUCGAACGAGAAAGCGGGAGCAAUCUCGCAAGUAAAGUGGCGUACGGGUGAGUAACACGUGGAUUAUCUGCCCUGGAGUGGGGAAUAACGCUGGGAAACCGGCGCUAAUACCGCAUAUUCCCGAGAGGGGAAAGCAGCAAUGCGCUCGAGGAGGAGUCCGCGGCCGAUUAGCUAGUUGGCAGGGUAAAAGCCUACCAAGGCUAUGAUCGGUAGCCGGCCUGAGAGGGCACACGGCCACACUGGCACUGAAACACGGGCCAGACUCCUACGGGAGGCAGCAGUGGGGAAUCUUGCACAAUGGGGGAAACCCUGAUGCAGCGACGCCGCGUGAGCGAUGAAGCCCUUCGGGGUGUAAAGCUCUUUCGGCAGGGAAGAUUAUGACGGUACCUGCAGAAGCAGCUGCGGCUAACUACGUGCCAGCAGCCGCGGUAAUACGUAGGCAGCAAGCGUUGUUCGGAGUUACUGGGCGUAAAGGGUGUGUAGGCGGCCUAUUAAGUUCCGUGUGAAAUCUCCCCGGCUCAACCGGGGAGGGUGCGCGGAAUACUGACGGGCUAGAGUGCGGGAUGGGAGAGUAGAAUUCCUGGUGUAGCGGUGAAAUGCGUAGAUAUCAGGAGGAAUACCGGUGGUGUAGACGGCUCUCUGGACCGCAACUGACGCUGAGACACGAAAGCGUGGGUAGCAAACAGGAUUAGAUACCCUAGUAGUCC
Molecule: ribosomal RNA, 760 nt
Filed under: uncultured bacterium
Lineage: Bacteria
Description: bacterial SSU rRNA
Rfam family: Bacterial small subunit ribosomal RNA
Source: RNAcentral